UCGCACGGGGCAGCAAUGCCCAGUGGCGAACGGGAGAGUAAUGAAUCGCUAACGUACCCCGGACUCCGGGAUAGCCAGCCGAAAGGUUGGGUAAUACCGGAUGACAUAUCCCGCAGGCAUCUGUGGGAUCUCAAAGGUCCGCCGGUCUGGGAGCGGGCGAUUUCGUAUCAGCUAGUUGGUGGGGUAACGGCCCACCAAGGCGACGACGCGUAGCCGGACUGAGAGGUUGGCCGGCCUCAUUGGGACUGAGACACUGCCCAGACUCCUACGGGGGGCUGCAGUAACGAAUCUUCCGCAAUGCGCGAAAGCGUGACGGAGCGACGCCGCGUGUGGGACGAAGCCCUUCGGGGUGUAAACCACUGUCAGGGGUUACCAAGUUCUGAGGAGCCCCAGAGGAAGGCACGGCUAACUCUGUGCCAGCAGCCGCGGUAAGACAGAGGUGCCAAGCGUUA
This 452-nucleotide ribosomal RNA is filed under the name uncultured bacterium. RNAcentral describes it as "bacterial SSU rRNA". It matches the Rfam family "Bacterial small subunit ribosomal RNA", at positions 62 to 543 of the family's 1533-position model. The record is from RNAcentral.